AACGCACAUUGCGCCCCUUGGUAUUCCAUGGGGCAUGCCUGUUCGAGCGUCAUUUGUACCCUCAAGCUCUGCUUGGUGUUGGGCGUUUUGUCUCGCGUUGCGCGUAGACUCGCCUUAAAGCGAUUGGCAGCCGGCAUAUUGGCCUUGGAGCGCAGCACAUUUUGCGUUUCUCGUCAUGAAUGUUGGCAUCCAUUAAGCCUAUACAUUUGCUCUUGACCUCGGAUCAGGUAGGGAUACCCGCUGAACUUAA
Molecule: unclassified non-coding RNA, 250 nt
Filed under: uncultured Pleosporales
Lineage: Eukaryota; Fungi; Ascomycota; Dothideomycetes; Pleosporales
Description: sequence contains 5.8S rRNA gene, ITS2, 28S rRNA gene
Source: RNAcentral